This 978-nucleotide ribosomal RNA is filed under the name Triticum aestivum (bread wheat). Its description in RNAcentral is "partial small subunit ribosomal RNA". Lineage: Eukaryota; Viridiplantae; Streptophyta; Magnoliopsida; Poales; Poaceae. The record is from RNAcentral.
AUGGCCACCAAGGGCUACCAGGCUCAAGCUCUGGCGAUGCCCGCGGCGGGAGAGCGCGCCGGUUCCGGCGGCGGCAAAAAGGCGCCGACGGGGAGCACGUCGCUGCCGAGGCGUGGCCAGAUCAAGGGGAAGAUCAUCAAGGAUGCGGUCGCCGUGGUCGCCAGCCUUGCCGCGGGGCUCGUCCGCGCCGACAAUAACGGGGCCGGCGGCGGCGGUCUUCCGGCCGCCGGCGACGCCCACGCCAAUUUCUGCGUCUUGAGCUGGGUCCGUCUCGUUGAUCUUCUUGCUGCUGCUGGUUGGUGGGUGAAGCCUCAGCUGCUAGCAUCUCGGGAGAUUGCGAAUGUUUUAAAGUGCAACCUCCUCAUAUGUUUGCCGCUGCGUCCUCAUCUCCUCCUCGAGCAGGUCUGGUCGAUCGUAGGUCUUUUCUUCAGGUUGUGUGCUGCUGCUUGCUUGGGUUUGGGUGUGUGCUCGUGUAUGGGAGUAUGCAAGUGCACCUAUAAUGGAAAGCGUUCCUACCGGUUGCGCUCAAGUCUUGAUCCAUCUCCCACAGACCUCGCUUGUCCAAGUCAAGUCUCCGCCCGCAAUCAACUUGCUGCCGAUGCCAAAAUCCCCUCUGGUUUGAACGCCUCGCGCAAAGCUUCCCUGAAAGCAACCACCAAGCGGUAUCUCGAGUGGCCAGCGACUGAGGAAGCCGGCUGGUUCUGCCGCUGGGAAGGGGCUUUGGUGGGAGGGAGGCAGAGCUCUGGGGGGCAUGUGCCCUCCCGCCACCAUGCCCCCUCUAGUGGCCCCCCACCGAUCUAUGGUUCAGGGGCGAGCUUAUACGGAGCAGGCGACCGAGGGAGGAGAGGGGCUCGAAGGAAGGAAUGGGAUGACCAAGAGGGAGACGAAGGGGAGGAGAGGGAGGUGGGUCGGGAGAGAUUACCUGCGCCGCUGAUAGGUUUCGUUCCGAUGCCAGGAGAGGAGGAAGCGACGUCGUAG